Molecule: ribosomal RNA, 253 nt
Filed under: uncultured bacterium
Lineage: Bacteria
Description: partial 16S ribosomal RNA
Rfam family: Bacterial small subunit ribosomal RNA
Source: RNAcentral
GACGAAGGGGGCUAGCGUUGUUCGGAAUUACUGGGCGUAAAGCGCGUGUAGGCGGUUGCCCAAGUCGGGUGUGAAAGCCUUGAGCUCAACUCAAGAAAUGCACUCGGGACUGGGUGACUAGAGGACCGGAGAGGAUAGUGGAAUUCCCAGUGUAGUGGUGAAAUACGUAGAGAUUGGGAAGAACACCAGUGGCGAAGGCGGCUAUCUGGACGGUUUCUGACGCUAAGACGCGAAAGCGUGGGGAGCAAACAGG